Molecule: small nuclear RNA, 105 nt
Filed under: Dasypus novemcinctus (nine-banded armadillo)
Lineage: Eukaryota; Metazoa; Chordata; Mammalia; Cingulata; Dasypodidae
Source: RNAcentral
GUGCUCGCUUUUAGCACAUAUACCAAAAUCUGAACAAUACAGAGAAGAUUAGCAUGACCCCUGCACAAGGAUGACACACAGAUUCAUGAAGCAGUCAGUAUUUUU